This 253-nucleotide ribosomal RNA is filed under the name uncultured bacterium. Its description in RNAcentral is "partial 16S ribosomal RNA". It matches the Rfam family "Bacterial small subunit ribosomal RNA", at positions 524 to 776 of the family's 1533-position model. The record is from RNAcentral.
UACGAAGGGGGCUAGCGUUGCUCGGAAUUACUGGGCGUAAAGGGCGCGUAGGCGGCCCGACAAGUCAGGCGUGAAAUUCCCGGGCUCAACCUGGGGGCUGCGCUUGAGACUGUAGGGCUAGAGGCCGAGAGAGGGUGGUGGAAUUCCCAGUGUAGAGGUGAAAUUCGUAGAUAUUGGGAAGAACACCGGUGGCGAAGGCGGCCACCUGGCUCGGUUCUGACGCUGAGGCGCGACAGCGUGGGGAGCAAACAGG